RNAcentral lists this transfer RNA (74 nucleotides) under Corchorus capsularis. RNAcentral's name for it is "tRNA tRNA-Ile". It matches the Rfam family "tRNA". From Rfam's summary of the family: Transfer RNA (tRNA) molecules are approximately 80 nucleotides in length. Their secondary structure includes four short double-helical elements and three loops (D, anti-codon, and T loops). Lineage: Eukaryota; Viridiplantae; Streptophyta; Magnoliopsida; Malvales; Malvaceae. The record is from Rfam by way of RNAcentral.
GGUCCCGUAGCUCAGUUGGGUAGAGUGUUGGUCUUAUGAGCCAAAGGUCGCGAGUUCAGUCCUCUCCGGGACCA